This 627-nucleotide long non-coding RNA is filed under the name Malus domestica (apple). Its description in RNAcentral is "long non-coding RNA (MDOM_LNC020495)". Lineage: Eukaryota; Viridiplantae; Streptophyta; Magnoliopsida; Rosales; Rosaceae. The record is from RNAcentral.
CUCCACCUUACACGGUGUACGAUCCAUUAGGUUCCUUUUAGCGAGGCAGUGGGCGAUUAAAAGCAUUUCAAAUCGAUUGUGAAUUGAAACUUACUUUCAAUUCUCCCUUUAAUGAUUAUACACGUUUAGGGCUUCCACAAACCAUGAGUGACACCUAGCAGCAUAUCAUGGUUACCCAAGCUAAUCAGAAAAUGUGGAGAACCUAUUCAGUUUAGGAUUACAAAUGCAAUACGGUCUUUCUCUAAUACAAUACUCUUGACCACAUUGUUUGGUUUGAUAGUUUAUUCAUGUCUACUAUCCAAUGUGAUUCGUGUGCUUAUAUGAUUACCUUGAAUGUGAUUUGGAACGACUUCCUAAAUCUCAUUCAUACUCUGGUCAGAGAUUCUUAAUCAUAUCAUAGAGUAUUCUCCCCCAAACGGUUUGAAGGUUAGAGAUCCCUUGUUGCGCAUUCACUUGCCUCCAUGGCUAAGUGGCUUAACCCCGACGAUGCCGUGGACACCCACGGAUGGGGUGACUUUGACAUAAUCAAAGAUCAAGUACCUAACCACAAGACAACUAUGAUGCCUCAGGUUAAAGGACUACUUUGCAUUAUCCCAACCAUGAGUUCUCAUGUGACAUGAAUAUGAG